CAAGCGCACACUCAGAUUAUAAUUUAAAGCGGUAGAAAGUUGACAGCGAAUCACGUGGGGGAUUUUCAUCUAUGGUUCGGAACCUAGAUAGGGAAAAACUGGUCACUAAUUGCAAGUAGAGAGGUGUGAUAAAUGUAACACCAGGGAGAGUGAAUGCAGCCCAAAGUGGGUGGUAAACUCCAUCUAAGGCUAAAUACCGGCACGAGAUAGUCAACAAGUACUGUAAGGGAAAGUUGAAAAGAACUUUGAAGAGAGGGUUCAAGAGGGUGUGAAACCAUUAAGAGGUAAACGGGUGGGGCCUGAGCAGUCCGCCUGAAGGAUUCAACCCGGCCUCGCGCUGGUGGACGGUGUGAGGCCGAGGUAGCUCCUCUUUGGCUCUUAGUAACAGGU
RNAcentral lists this non-coding RNA (390 nucleotides) under Rattus norvegicus (Norway rat). RNAcentral's name for it is "Eukaryotic large subunit ribosomal RNA". It matches the Rfam family "Eukaryotic large subunit ribosomal RNA", at positions 140 to 490 of the family's 3401-position model. The record is from Rfam by way of RNAcentral. Lineage: Eukaryota; Metazoa; Chordata; Mammalia; Rodentia; Muridae.